This 76-nucleotide transfer RNA is filed under the name Pseudoxanthomonas broegbernensis. RNAcentral describes it as "tRNA-Thr". It matches the Rfam family "tRNA". Rfam says of the family: Transfer RNA (tRNA) molecules are approximately 80 nucleotides in length. RNAcentral also lists the same sequence under 16 other names. Lineage: Bacteria; Pseudomonadati; Pseudomonadota; Gammaproteobacteria; Lysobacterales; Lysobacteraceae. The record is from RNAcentral.
GCCGAAGUAGCUCAGUCGGUAGAGCAACUGAUUCGUAAUCAGUAGGUCGGAGGUUCGAUUCCUCUCUUCGGCACCA